UAAGACCAUGGAGACGGUAGCAGGCCGA
This 28-nucleotide non-coding RNA is filed under the name Drosophila melanogaster (fruit fly). Lineage: Eukaryota; Metazoa; Arthropoda; Insecta; Diptera; Drosophilidae. RNAcentral also lists the same sequence under 1 other name. The record is from RNAcentral.